This 247-nucleotide ribosomal RNA is filed under the name uncultured bacterium. RNAcentral's name for it is "partial 16S ribosomal RNA". It matches the Rfam family "Bacterial small subunit ribosomal RNA", at positions 15 to 260 of the family's 1533-position model. The record is from RNAcentral.
GAUCAUGGCUCAGGGCGAACGCUGGCGGCGUGCUUAACACAUGCAAGUCGAACGGAAAGGCCCUUUGCUUGCAAGGGGUACUCGAGUGGCGAACGGGUGAGUAACACGUGGGUGAUCUGCCUUGCACUUCUGGAUAAGCCUGGGAAACUGGGUCUAAUACCGGAUAGGACCAUGCUUUAGUGUGUGUGGUGGAAAGUUUUUUCGGUGCGAGAUGAGCCCGCGGCCUAUCAGCUUGUUGGUGGGGUAA